This 436-nucleotide ribosomal RNA is filed under the name Abiotrophia defectiva. RNAcentral describes it as "bacterial SSU rRNA". It matches the Rfam family "Bacterial small subunit ribosomal RNA", at positions 28 to 448 of the family's 1533-position model. The record is from RNAcentral. Lineage: Bacteria; Bacillati; Bacillota; Bacilli; Lactobacillales; Aerococcaceae.
GACGAACGCUGGCGGCGUGCCUAAUACAUGCAAGUCGAAUGAACCGCGACUGAGUGCUUGCACUUGGUCAAGGUGAGUGGCGAACGGGUGAGUAACACGUGGGUAACCUACCUCAUAGUGGGGGAUAACAGUCGGAAACGACUGCUAAUACCGCAUAGGACAUGGAAUCACAUGAUUCUGUGAGGAAAGGUGGCGCAAGCUAUCGCUAAGAGAUGGACCCGCGGUGCAUUAGCUAGUUGGUAGGGUAAAGGCCUGCCAAGGCGAUGAUGCAUAGCCGACCUGAGAGGGUGAUCGGCCACAUUGGGACUGAGACACGGCCCAAACUCCUACGGGAGGCAGCAGUAGGGAAUCUUCCGCAAUGGACGCAAGUCUGACGGAGCAACGCCGCGUGAGUGAAGAAGGUCUUCGGAUCGUAAAGCUCUGUUGUUAGAGAAGA